RNAcentral lists this ribosomal RNA (463 nucleotides) under Hemigrapsus penicillatus. RNAcentral describes it as "partial 16S ribosomal RNA". The stretch from base 331 to 463 matches the Rfam family "Bacterial large subunit ribosomal RNA", at positions 2473 to 2605 of the family's 2925-position model. The record is from RNAcentral. Lineage: Eukaryota; Metazoa; Arthropoda; Malacostraca; Decapoda; Varunidae.
UGCAAAGGUAGCAUAAUCGUUAGUUUUUUAAUUGGAAUCUUGUAUGAAUGGUUGGACAAAAGAAAAUCUGUCUUUAUAUUGUUUAUUGAAUUUAACUUUUAAGUGAAAAGGCUUAAAUAAAUUAAAGGGACGAUAAGACCCUAUAAAGCUUAAUAUUAAUAUUUUACUUGGUUAAAUUUUCUUGCUCAUAAAAACUUAGUAAUUGAAUUUAUUUUAUUGGGGCGAUAAAUGUAAAAUGGCUACUAACUGCUUAAUUUUUUAUACAUUUAUAAAUGAAUUAGGAAAUAAAUGAUCCUUAAUAUAAAGAUUAAAAGUUUAAGUUACUUUAGGGAUAACAGCGUUAUCUUUCUUAAGAGUACAUAUCGAAAGAAAAUUUUGCGACCUCGAUGUUGAAUUAAAAUAUCUUUAUAAUUGCAGCAGUUAUAUAAGUAGGUCUGUUCGACCUUUAAAAUUUUACAUGAUU